GAUUUUCUGUAUCUGUGUCCUUGGGUGGCACUUCUCCCCAUAGCAGGAUGUUGAUAGGCCCAAAUUUGCCAAACAUUUUGUGGCAGUAAUCGCAACUGCCGUGAGAUCAGGAGUAUGAAGGUGAUAUCAUGCUUCAAAAAGUGCUCUAUCUCACCCCGCUCCCUGGCCUGCUUUGGCCCCUAUAGUCUGUUCACCCUCUCUCCGUUCACCCGCUCUCCGAAUGUUCCAUGAGCCUGGGGAUGGGGGGAGGCUUGAAAGAUAACCCUUAUUUAUGGCUGUGCAUUCAAUAGUCCCUUGUCCUCUGCAUUGUGAACAGGUGUGAGUCUCUGCACUUACCAGUGCCCACAGCCAAAAGAAGCUUCUCUGUGCAAGGCUGAAGGUAGCAUCAACCUGUGCCAAAAAAGACUUCUCUCAGAAACCGGAACAGAUCUCCUGUUGACUCUAACGGCUUCAGGCCCCGCCUCCUUGGCUUCCUGAUUGGAGUUUGCUUCAAGUCUCCCAUUUUUUUUUAAAAGCUGCUUUGAAAAGUAGUUGAGGACAGCAUCCCUAGUAGCCUCAGCAAGCCACAGGCUCCUUCUAUGUUCAAAAUGUGAAUAAGCUUUUCUUUCUGUGGUCUAGUAAGAAAAUGAAAUGAUUUGGGAAUAACGGCAUUUUGUAUUUGACUCCAAGGACCCAGUUUGGUAAAACACAGGGAAGUCCUCAUAUUAAGUGGCUCAGAAAGACAGGCGGUAAGUCCUCUGAGGCUAAGCCUCUAAAGCCCUAAGACAGGCGCUAACGCUCCCUCCCUAACCUGUUCUGUCUUCAUUGGGAAGUGGAGCCCCUGCCCUUGCCCUUGCCUGGGGAGCCCUGGCUUUGCCCCAGCCCGACCCCAAGAGGUAUCGCCACAUAUGAAAUCUCUUCCUUUUUCCUGUCCUGUCCCCUUUCAUCAGAUUCGCCCUUAAGCCUUUCUUGUCACUUAGAUAUUUCUGGAGAGCAUCCUUCCCUACUUUGUUCAGAAGCUGGGUGACUCAUCAUUUCCCAGGUGACACAUUCCUAGGGUCCAUUCCAGGCGAAUCAGCUUCCUCUCCUAAAACAGAGCAGUUAUUAAAGCCUUUAUUCAACCCACCCUGAAAUGAAAGUGUCUGUCUGCGCUUCAGCCCUGGCUGGGCCUUGCUCCUUUCUCGUUUCCGCACAGAGUAUUGUUUAGAGUUUUGAGCACACUAGCCCCCAGGUACAGCACCAAUGUCGUCAUUUAAUUUGAAUUUCCCAACAUGUAUUUAUUUUUACGGUGAGGUGUUCAUUAGAGAAAGGAAGAAGAGGCAUUAAAAAGUAAUUUGCGAGAAUUGGGAAUGAUCACAUCUAACAAUUGAAACAGCGAUCCGCAGUUUUGGAAAGAAAAAAAAAACCGGCUCUAGAAUGUAACAGUAAGAGACACAUAAUGGCAGUGCCUGGGCUGGAGCGCAUUGGAAAUGAAAUCUGAGAGGAGGCCGUGUGACUGCCUGGGUUCCCAUGUUGCACGCCAGGGAGGCUGCGGAUGCUUUCCUUCAUCUUUCCAGCACCAGCCCAGAUCCCUUGUAAGGAAAUGCAGCUUUCGUAGCCCUAAGAGCAGAAAAUGGAGACAAUAGCUGUGAUAAAGUGUCAAUUCCUGAGUGCAGCUUAUCCCUGGAGAGCCUUUCGGGUUUGGAAGGAGAGGCAAGACAAUCUGAGAUCAUCCUAGGUGAUAGACAUGGAGUGGAUUGGAGGAAGGCAGAGAACUGCUGACACCCAGGCUGUCUGUCACAGCAAGAACAUCUCUCACAAGCUGGCCUGCAGAGCUGAUGCUUAGUGACCCCCACCCGUUCUCUCUCAAGCCUAAAAUUUACGAGUUUCCCUGCAAGCUCUAGUGCAGUGUUCAGGGCCAUCCUCAUCUCUGUCUUGUCUUAAACCGGACAGACAACCUCUGAGUCCUCCCCAGCACAUUCCACCCAGGGUCUGGGGUAUCAGAGUGCUCCAACAUCAUGUUCAUGGUUUCUAUUUCUGUGUUCUGCUACAGAGCUCUGGAAAACAAAAAACAAAAAAAAACCUUUCCCACUUGAAAGAGAAAGGAUUCUGCUUCCUUGUUUAACCCUCAACCAAGCAUCAUCCUCUCAUUUUUUAUGGUCCUGGGAGGUAGCUAGUUUAUACUCUUUGAAUGACUCUCCUGCCUUAUUAAAUAAAAGAUGCAGCUGUAAGAUUUUAGCAAACCGAGAUUCUGCAAAGAAGGACAGCUGACUCCAGCAGCUGCCUCUCUUCUCCGUACCGUUUGCCCUCCGUUCCAGAUCACAAGCUAGGUUCUCUCCUCCAUCACAUGUCUAUUCCAUAAUGGAGGCGUUAGCAUCCUUUGAAGCCAAGAACAGCAUAUGUGAAAACAGUAACUCUUGCCCAUACAGACAUCAAUAAUUGAUCACUUCAGUCUAGCCUGCUGAUAGCUGAUUUGGCCAGCCUUUUCAGUACAGUGAUCGAUUAAUUUAUUGAAAUUGGCAUGUUAAGAAAACAAUUUUUGUGUUGUUGCAUAGUUUUGGAGAUGAGAGGCAGGCAGAGGGCACACAGACAUAAAAACCAUAACACUCAUAUCAAGACGUUUUAUUUAGAGACUAACAGAGGAUCAUACAUCACUCUUUUUUUUCUCUACAGUUUUAUUGAUCAGCUAUUGUUCUAACAAGCAGGCUAAAUGCUUCAAUGAAGACCACAGUGCUAGCCUAUAUUCAUGGGCUUUCCUUAGUAUUAUAAUCUCAGGUGUGAAGCAUGAAAGAUCCAUUCUGAGCCCAUUCCUUUUGGUUUGCUCAUGCCAAGUGAGAGCUACAGACAUAUCCACACUACAAAAUAACAAAGGAGACAGAUGUGCCAGAGGUAGCUUAACCCUCCAGGGAUGGAAUCUCAGUAAGCUUAAGUACAUCUUUGCUCUUUUCCUGAGUCAGACGAACUCAUUUCCUCAAGGCUCUGGGUGCAGAGGCUAUCAGUUGGUUUAUUUUAAUUGAGACCUAUACAAAUUGUUUUAUUUGAUAUAACAUUUCUUGGUCCAGUAAUAUAAUUUAAGUAUAGGUUUUCAGCUACUUUUAGAUUACCAUGUUUUUUAACAAGGGCGAAGUUGCAAUACCUUCACAGAAUUUAUUUCAAGUGAAAUGGCAGUAAAUGUCUUUUAAGAGAGCUGUAGUGAAUCAUUAUAUUUCUGAUAAUGAAUUGCAUGGAAUUUCUGGUCAUUUAUGUUAAUAAAGGGCAUUUAAAAAACUUCUUUGCAUUUUAUUAGACUCAUAAAUAUAUUGAAAAUGCUAAGAAUUUACCUUUAAGCUUCUCUAUAUCAACACCAAGGACAAUUAUCUUUUAACUAUUUAUUUUAUAAGCUUGGAAAGCAGGAGCAUGUUGCUUUUAUGGUAAUUGAAGUUUUCCAUCUUUCAGUUCGUUACCUAUCAAUAAUGUUACCCCAGAGAAAAUCCACCUGAGAAUAUGAGGUGUAUCCAGACAGGGAUAAGUGAACAGAGCAUGUUGUGAGCUUUAAUUUCAAUUCACAUAUCACAAAUUUACAAGUUCCCCCAGGUACUGGGAAUCUGGACAAGGUAGGCACAAAUAUGCAUUAGACCUGUUCUCACGGAAUUUGAUGCCCACUGGACAAUAAGAUGCUCAAGUCAUCCAUGUCCUGUGUGCAGGUUUCACACAGCUUUUCAGAUACUCCCACAAAGUCAUCUCAUGAGCAGGGCUGCCUUAGACUACCCUAGUUAAUGAUGCAACUUCUUGGCCACUUCUCAGUCCUUACUACUUUCCUGUCCUGUCUUUUGUCCCUUUACUAAUAGCUAAUUCUGUUCAUCAUCUUUCUUGUUUGUUAUUAUCAUCCUCCCAUUGAAAAGGGUGAAAUCCCCAAAUGAUUUCAAUGUCUUCUACUCAUCAGUAGAUCUGUAGAUCUCAAAUCAUGACUGACACAUAGUAGGCAGUCAGUAACACACAUAGGGAUGAGUCACGCUAAGACAGGUGGGAAAGUGGGUGCAUUCAAAGAGAAAGAGACAUUUGAACUUGCCUUAAGGAAGGAAUACAAAUGUGGAGGAGGAGUCGCUAUGUGCAAAGAUGUGUUCACGGAGGCAAGAUGGCCUGGGGUUGCCUAAAGAACAAGAUUUGGGGGUUGGAGGGAGGUGAUUCAGGCUUAGGGGAGAUGUGAGGAAAGUCUGAAGUAAUGGAAGUUGGGUCAGUUGAUGAAGGGACAGCAUAAAUGAAAAGUGGCAUUCAAUGUGGGCUUACCUUAUGAAAUCAAAGGGAAAAAAUCAUUCCCUUAUCCCGUAAGGAUAAUGGGAUAUUUUCAACUCAUCUCAUAAACCAAAUCUUCAAAGCAAUAAGCAAUAUUAACAGCUGAGGAUUAACAGGAGGAGUGAGCAGGGCUGAGUGCUAGGUUGUCAUCUGAGAUUAUAAGGAGUUCAUUCUCAGGCUCUAGGAACCUGGACCUCCCUGGACUGAACCAGGCCUAAGACCAAGUUUAGGAAGUCACCACAUGCUAAAGAAGUUGCUGCAUUGCAUGAUGAGGAAGGUCCCAGGAAAGGUGACAGAUUCAGACCUGAAGCUUCGGGGUUAGCUGCAGGAAGAGGAAAGCAGGGCCGUAUGUGCCCUACUUCAGAAGACAGGUCUGAAGACUGUGGAGACCAUGACCGAGGGCAGAGAGAGCAGCAGCCCCGUGGCCAUGGCCCUGGUACUGAAGAUGAAAGGUUCUGAGCUUGAGAGAAACUAAGCUUCAUUUAGGGAAGGAGAAAAUGAGAGCAAAUGUUUGGUUCUAUCCCAAAAGCCCAGAGAACGGGGUGGAUGAGCCCAGAGCAAAUGGGAUCCUCUGGUGACGGAGAUGUGCUGGGUGGUGGAGGUACUUAGGGCCAAGAUCAAUGUCAUAGAAAAAAGGGAGGGUACUUAAGCAUGACAGAUGGCUAAAGAGUGAGGACAGGAGAACAUCAGGAGCCGAGAAGCUCUCAGAUGUCCUAAGGGGUAUGGGUGGGGUAGAUCACAUUCAGCCAGAG
Molecule: long non-coding RNA, 4982 nt
Organism: Mastomys coucha (southern multimammate mouse)
Lineage: Eukaryota; Metazoa; Chordata; Mammalia; Rodentia; Muridae
Exons: 2
Source: RefSeq, a predicted model, not a curated record